CACGAACCACCAACAACUAAAUUAAUUUUUAUGAUUUUUAAUUUGGUCGCAGCUAGAUUAAUUUGACCGUAGCAUGUAUUUAUAAUACAUGUCUCCUAAAUAGAGUUUAAUUCUAAUUCAAUUAGAAAUUAGAUUCCGACUCAUAAUCCAUAUAUGUCAAAUUAAAUCUAAAUUAUAUCCAAUCCCAAAUAGAUUAGGAUUUAUCCUCAAUUUAGAUAACUACAAAUCUAAAUCGAUAACUAUAAAUCUAAACCAAAUAUAACAGUUUCUCUCUCUACUCUCUCUCUAUCUAUCUAUGCCUUCUCUCAUUCCUUCUCUUUCAAGUUUCUCUCUCUAGUCUCUCUCUCUACCUAUGCCUUUCUCUCUUUUCUUUCAUUGGGUGGCUUGGGCGGCAACAGCAGCGGUCACGGCCGCGGCGAUAACUUGGACGACGUCAGCAGCGGUAACCGCGACAACGUGAGCGGCAUUGACGGCAGCGAUGGCGACUUGGGCAGCGUUAGCGGCGGACACGACGACGGCAACAUCAUACAAAAAAAAAAAAAAAUCGCAAUUUUUUUUUUUUNUCUUCUUCUUUUUUUUCUUUACUUCUUGCCUGACAACAUCGAAUGGCAGCUUAGGCGGUGCCAGCGGCGGCUUGGGCGGCGUCGGCAGUACGCACGACAGUGGGAAGCAGCGUCAGCGGUCAUGGUGGCAGUGGCGGCCGCGGGGACAAUGGCGGUCGCUACAACAACAUCAGCAGCGGUCACGACGGCAACAGCCACCGUUUUCCUUUUCUUUUUUUUUUUCUUUUUUUUUGUUUCUCUUCCACUUAUUCUCUGUAACUCGCUCUUCUUCUUUUUCUUCUUUUUUUUUUUAUCUCUUCUUCCUCCUCUUCCUUCUUCUUCUUCUUCCUCUUCUUCUAUUUGAAAGAUAAUUGAAAAUUUAAUGUCACUAUAAUUUUUUUUCCCUAAAAAAACUAUUUUAUAUGAUUUUAUGUCGAAUCAAACACCUCCUUAAAUAUAUUUUUUUAAAAAUUAAUUAUUUUUUCGCAUAUUUUUUUAUUUUUAUUUAAUUAUUUUUUUUAAAUAUUAUAUUUAUAUUAUCUAUCCACAGCGAAGCGCGGAUCCUACACUAGUUAUAUUUUAUAACACAUCACUAUUACUCAGGAGGAGGAUCAAACAAACUCUCAUGUUAUUUUAUUCAUUACCGGUUAUUACAGGAUCGGAUGUGCUGCUCUAAUCACUCCAAACAUGUUCGUCGACUUAAUUUAGUAAUGCACACAACACUCCCAACUUAAACAAAAUUAUACCAUACAAAACAAAAUUUCAAAUUUGAAGAGGGAGACCGACCGUCCCUACGGCAAGUGGCAAAAUAUUUGGUGGUUGAUAUCCAAGGUCCCAAGUUCGAGUACUAAUUGAUUUACAUUUUCAGCUAAAUUUAUUUUUAAAUAAAAUAAACGAAGCGGGUAGCGUGCUAUCUAUCUCUCCAAAAAAAAAAAAAAUUGAAGAAGGAGAGAUUUAAGUAACCGUAUACAACAAGAAGGGAGGAUUCUAAUCGACUCUAACACUUUACUGUGGAGAUAUAUAAUCAAUAACCAUCUCAUUUUCUUUACGGAAAAAGGCUCAUUCAAUACUUGCCGAUCACUGCAUCUGCAUUCAUGGGACAUACAAAAAGCCCAAACCACAAAGCAAAAGAGUAGGCCGCUCUGAUCCAGUCAGUUUCAGCAACAAUCAUAGAUGGUCCCUCAUCUACUGACUUUUAUCUUACACGUCCACUCUGUAACUGACCUCAUUUUAAUUCAGCAAUGUCUGGGUCAACCUUUUCCGUUGACCAACCCUUAAAAAAAAAAAUUCAAAUACCACCCCUAUUAUUUUGCUUUUUUUUUUUUAUUUUAGUACUAUACGGUUUAAAGUGUAUCAAUUUGAUACUCCGUGAUUACAUUUUUUUUUUCUUUUUUUUAUUACCUUCACUAAUUUAUUUUAAUUAAAUUAGUGACAAAAUUAAAACUAAAAUAUAUUAAAGUAAAUAUUCGAUAAAUUUUGGUGGGUAUUCGAAGUUUUUUAUAUAUAAUUUAACGACCCACUUGAAAUUUUUUAUAUAUAAUUUAACGAAAUGUUAACGGAGGAACUUACGAAAAGAAAAAAAUAAAAUUAUAUAAUAUUAAAUUAAUACAGUUUAAAUUAUUAUAGAAUAUUAAAGUAAAAAAGUGCCGAUCUAUAUAAAUGAUAAGUUUACCAAAAAAAAAAAAAAAAAAAAAAAAGGGUUUGCAAUUUGAACGGAGUGAGGCGCUGUUAGUUACAACUGUAACAGCUAUCGCCUGCGAAAAUAGGCGCCAAGAAAGAGCCACGCGCGAAAAGCGGCCGCACUAUAAAUAAGCCCACUCUCUGAGCUCUUCGAGUAGCUUCUCCUCUCUCUCUCUCUCUCUCUCUUUCUCUCUCUCUCUCUCUCUCUCUCUCUCUCCCCACUAGAUUCUCUCCCUCUCUCCCCGCACCUCUUCCAUGGCGACAAGUAACCUAGGGUGCGUGGUGGUGGCCGUCGACAGCAGAGAGGAGAGCAUGAAGGCCCUCCGCUGGGCCCUCGACAACCUCCGCCUCGGCCCAGCCGCCGCCGGAGCCGCCGCCGCCGAUCCCGGGUUCCUGAUCAUCCUCCACGUCCAACACCCUCUGUCCAUCGCCACGAGCCUCAACCCGGGCUCCAUCCCCUCCGGCGGUCCAAGUAACCCUCCCAAACCCUAGCUCCUUCCCCCCCUCCUCUGAAUCGGAAUCGGAUUAUGUUCCUUUCCUUGUGCUUGGCCUCACCCUUCGUCGAGUACUCUUGAUCCGACUCUUGCUAUGGUGUUGGUGCUUGUUGUGGUGCGGUGUGGCUUUAAGGCGAUGUCGAGGCGCAUCAGCAGCGGACCACGGACGCGAUCUUUAAGCGUGCCCUGGAUAUGUGCGCCGAUAGAAACGUGAGAUCGGAUUCUGUUGAUCAUUAUGUGUUUAGAUUCGUUAGCAUUUGUAUUGUGAUUGAACCUUUCUCUUUUGCGGUAAAUUUUAGGUGACUGUGAGAACCGAAGUGAUGAUCGGCGAUCCGAAGGUCAUGAUCUGCAAGGCCACUGUAACCUUGUACGCCGACUUACUGGUGAUCGGGCGUCAUUCGAUCAGACCGAUCAGUUGGUGAUUUGAUUGAUUUCUUUCCCCCUUUCUGUUGUUUAAAACUUGGUCGUGGAAUCGAUUUCUUUCAUCAUUAAUAAAUUUUCAGCCAUUUUAAAGUUGUUAUUCACUUUGAUUUUUAAUCACGAACUUAUGACUUUAACUUCAAUGUAGUACUGAUGAUCUCUAUGUAGGAAUCUCGAUUUUCAGAAAAAUAUAGGAAUCUCCGGUUUAUGAAUAAUAUACAGUUGAAUUGUUUGCUACAUAGCUUGAUGAAGAUUGGCUGCAGCUUUGGGUUUGAUCUGAACGUUUGAAGAGAAUUGUAAUUGUUUACAGUGCCAUGAUGUUCGAUAGAUUCUGUUUCUGUGUUUAAGGUUCAACUUGAGUGUGCAGAAAUUGUGUCAAGAAUCUCUAUCAUGCUAUUAAAAAUGUAACGAAUUCUAGGAAUAUGUGGUGUAAGUUACCUCUAAGCUCAAUUUUUACUAUUUAUCAUUCAUCUUUCUCUGUAAAUCAAAGUUUAUAUUACCUUUUUCCAUCUAUCUACAUGUUAAAUUUCACAUGUCAUGAUCUUCACUAUCAGCCAUCGCACCCAAUGGAUGGCCAAAAUGUUUAUAUAAAUAGCAUGCUUCAAGGACUUAUUUACUAAAAUGUAUAAUUUAACCUGCUAACAACAAUUCAAGCAAAAGUUUGAACCGGCAUUAUCUUGCAGUUAUGUCUCUGUUAUGUGUGUUGAAGUAUGUCAAGUUGUACUGCUCGUCUUUUCUGAAUGAUGCAGAUCACCUUUCUUCUAGCUUCAAAAUGACCGGAAAAUAUUCCAGCCCUUUGGUGAGGGAAUAUCGUAAGAGGUGAUCUUAAUGGUUCAUAGAGACGGACCGCAUAUGUUUUACUACAUUAUGUGCACCAAGAUUAAGUAAUUUUAAGUUUAGCAAGAUUUGGAUUUUAAGGCCUAUAAUACUUGUUGGUCAUCGGUAACAGGUUUCUUUGGCGUCUUUGCUACAUCAGACCGUAAUUAAGAAUUACCAUCAGAUGAGGAUGUGCUUCACAUAUGGAUCUUCUUUCCAAAUGCAAAUUUAAUUUUUUUCUUUUGCCAUCGUGUUAGAGCUGCCCUACCUUUAAUUUUUUUGCCCUCGAUUGAACUUCAAUUUGAUUGCAGCUCAAAUACAGCUUAGAAAAGAACAAUCCUUUUAAGUGAUACAUUUUUUGCACAUUAGUUGGACCAAACCAAAUGGCGAGGACAAACAAUACAACAUGCUGUAGGCGUUCAUUAAAUCUAGUAGCUAUUUAUAUACUGUUUGUAACUACUUUCCUUUGUAGAGAAUUAAUGAUAUUGUAGUCUACUUGGAGAGCCAGGAAUUUGAUAGUGAGUUAUGUCAAGGAGAGAUUUGUAGUAUGAAAUAAUCCUUCAAUAGAAUUCAUUGUGAAUUGGUGUUAGUUCCAGCAGUAGCAUUUAUGAAAGUGAGAAAAUGUUGUCGGGACUUCAAAAUAAGAGUUUAUCUAGGCUUUAUAGUUGCUCCUAGAAUACUGGUGCUUUUGAUUAUGCUUGUCAGAUGUGACUCGAAAUCUACUAUCGUUUCAGAUUCGGGUUUACGAUUCGCCGACAGCUUCGCGGUGCGACCAACUUGGAAAAGAAAAUUAUGGAGGAAAAAUGAAUAUAUGUGGUGGGUAGCGGAGGGCUCGGGCCAUCAGGCUCGAGCUCGUAGCCCACCACUGACAUUCGCCAGGGGGUGCGGGGGCCGUAAUCAAAAGAACAUUGUAUNCCCGCUGUACGGAUCGGAUCCGAAAUCCGUUAUGAGUUUUCCUUUUUCGUUUUUUGCCCUAGAGGCGUGUGAUCAUGGUCGGUUGUAAUCUGAAGAACAUUGUAUUCCCUUUUCGUUCCAUAGUAAAGUCCUCUCCUCCAUCGCCCGUGGUUUUUUCCUGCAAAGAGUUUUUCACGUAAAUCUGUCUCUUUAUUUUCUGCUUGUGGUUCGAUUGUUUUUUGUAUUCGUCAUUUCGUUUCCGUUUAUGCGUUUGUCGUAACAAUGCUUCUGUAGACUCAAACCAUAAGUUUGGCAACGGACGAAAAAGAGGUCAAAACUCAAGGGGAGUUGGUAGAGGAUGUACGAGGCUCGUUUGAUUUCUAGGAGAAAAAAGUAUCUAGCAAAAUUACAUAAUUUCCAUGAUGCAUCCAACUGUUGCUUAUUUGGGUUACCAUCAUGACAAUUCAAGUUGUGUACCUAGUAUGUGAUCUUGCAAUUAAUGUUGUUCUAUAAGCGAACUGUGAUCGGUUGUUGCUUGAAUAGUCUUUUGGAGGUAUGUUUACCUCCUUGUGUUAUGUUAUACCUAUUUUCAUAUGCUUCUAUUAAGACUCUUUAAUUUAGUGAUGAAUAUGCCAUCUAUAAUGAAUGCCCUAAAUACUUUUCAAAUUGCUGUUUCGUUGCAGGAUGUUCUUAGGAAGUGUAAGCAAGUACUGCGUCAACCAUGUGAGCUGCCCUGUUCUCGUGAUAAAGGGAAUAUGACCUUAUUCUCUACCGUGUUUGCUGUUGUUGCUCUAGCUUUUGAACUAAGAGUGCAUCUACCAUUGACUGCCAUUGAAAUUUUUGCAUAGUCUGUGAUUUUCUCUGCCGUUACCUUCUUUUCCUAUAUGGAAAUUGCUAUAGCUACUAGAUUUGAGUUGCACUGCGAAGUUGUAGAGGUUUUGAAGGGAGUUGGGACCAAGAACUAUUUCCUUCUUCGAGAAAUUUCUGUGUAGCAUGUCGUCCAUUGGUGUAACAACAGCGGUUCUUGUACUUGUCAAUAAAUAGGGUAUAUACAUAUGAUUUGCCGUAUUUGUCACGAUAAGAUUUUAGAAUCUGGUUUCGUAUGUUUGCAUGAAUUUCGAGUAUUUCGUGAUAUUUGAUAGUGCGCGCAAAGAUUCGAGCAGUUUCAUUGCUUUACAGCAUCAAGUUUCUACUUGAUUGCUUUACCAAAUAUGCUGUUUUAUAAGAAUUGAUGAUUGAAUAGAAACUCGGAUAUGUUAUUUUAAGGGUCUGGAGUUGAUUAUUCGCAACAGUGGCCAUCAGCAGUGGCUAUGCAUAUCCUAGCCAGGGUUCUUUCUUCUAGAAUUAUUUCUCAAUUUGUCACCUAAAUUGAACUCAGCUGAUUUACUUUUACAUCUCAAUUUGAUCAGCCUAGUUUGGAAAUAACUCAGAUCCUAGGCAUACAUCGGAAGAAAACAGAAGAAAUUGUAGAGUACGCAGAGAUUGAGAAUUGCUUUGUGGAAAGCAAAUGUGUCGUGGGGUUUAUGUAGAACGUUUGGAGCGUAACUAACAAAAGAGAAAUCCGGAGUAAAAACAUGUGCCGGUUACCGUAACCGAGCUCAAAGAAUCCGUUCCGUUUGAUAGUUACGUCACAUCGUAGGCAUAUGUGUCCGGUUGCUCGAUCUCUCAUUAGAAGCCGUUGAUUGUGCGGCAUCACAAGACCUUUAAUUAAGGUGACCAUGAUAUUUAACCACAAUAUUAUUUUUAAGUAGCCGUUGAUUGUGCGGCAUCACUAGACCUUUAAUUAAGGUUACCAUGAUAUUUAACUACAAUAUUAUUUAAUUAGGGACACUGUUUUAAUUACAUUUUAUCACACAGCACUAAUACUCAGAAGUAGGAUCAAACAAAUUCUCAUAUUAUUUUAGCCAUCAACAGUUAUUACAGGAUCGGGUAUGCUGGUCUAAUCACUCCAAAGGUGAUCGUUUAGGUUUAAUAAUGCACACAACUCUCCCAAUUUAAACAAAAUUGUACCAUACAAAACAAACUUUCAAAUUUGAAGAGAGAGAAAGAGAGAGAGAGAGAGAGAGAGAGAGAGAGAUUUAUUAAGUAACCGUAUACAACAAGAACAGAGGAUUCCAAUCGACUACAACACUUUCCUACAGAGAUAUAUAAACCCCUGGAGCUCAAUAGCCAUCUAUUUUCCUUUACAGAAAAGGCUCAUUCAAUACUUACCGAUCACUGCAUCUACAUUCAUGAGACACAAUCCUCUUUACUAUCACACAAAAAGCCCAAACCACAAAGCAAAAGAAUCGGCCACUCUGAUCCACUCAGUUUCAGCAACAACCAUAGAUGGUCCCUGAUCACCUUGUUUUAUCUAAAAAUGCAUCUGAAUCUCAGUAAUGAUAAUGAUCACUAAGAUCAUCAGAUCAAGAGAUAGAGUUCCUCCACCUCCUCGGCCCCUUCCUCGCUUGCCCGCCCCCGGGCCCGGCUCCUGCUGGCCGGUCCGGGCCGCCGCCGACGCCCCCCAUCUCCUGCCCCUCGUGGUUCGCCAUCUUCGUCAGCUUGCUCAGCUUCUUCCACCCGCUGCUCCACGCGGAUGCCGCCGACGGCUUCCCGGGCUUCGUCGCCAGCGUCAUUUUCUCGAACUGCCGCUGCAGCACGUCCAUAUCGUUCUGCAGCUCCAGAUACUUGGCCUUCAUGCUCUCGAGCUCGAACUUGAGCGUGUUGAUGUCCUUCUUCGCGGCGGCCCACCCUUCCUGGAAGGACUGCGGGGUGCCCUCCAGCAGCUGCUUCCUGGACGAGACCAUGGGCUGGUAGUGCGGCAGGUCGCCCGCGUCCUUCACGGAGGAGUUCGCCAUCGCGUUGCUGAUCUUGACCUGCUCGGAGAAGAGGAUCUGCACCACCAGCCGCAGCGGCAGCCGCUCGUUCUGCGCCGCGUGCAUGCACGCGUCGAUCGACAGCUUCUGGCAGUCCAUCACCCGGCACAGCCGCUUCCUCUCGUGCUCCGUUAGCGUCGGAUGCGCCUUCAAAAUAGUGAUCAAAAGUUAUACUAACAAACUUGAAAAGCAUCUUGGAGUACUAUUGUAUCUGAGAUUCCAGUUUCAUGUUCCAAACUUCAAAAAUUUGAAAACUUGGUUUACUCUAUUGGUCACGUCAGGAUCAUCGGCAUCAAAAUAUGUUUGUGUUAAAUUUUGAAGUUUUGGGGAGCAAAAUUGACAUGACAUUAAUGCCAAACCUGGGAGAAUAAACUGCUGUAAUUAAAUCUCUGAAGAUUCCUCACUAAAGCCUAUUCAUACUUUACCACAUAUAGUUCAUAAAGUGUUACACUUUGAACCACACGAGAUCGAAUAAGCUUCAGAUUGUAUAUAUAUAUAUAUAUAUACCUUGAGGUAUGAGUCUACUGCUCGGUAAAGCCCGUCGUCGCACGUGCGCGCCGACUCCGGCAGCGCCUCGGCGAGCACCUGGAACUUGGUCAGCGACAGGUUGCGGUCCCUCGCCACCUCAGUGAGGUAACUAUCCAGCAGCCUCGCCACCCGCAUCUUCGCAUUCGGGCCCGACCCCCCGCCGCCGCCGCUGCCGCCGCCUCCGCCGUGCUUCUCGCCGACUCCGUAAGGCGGCGGCGCGUCCCUCCCGGGGCUCGACGCCUCCGUCUGCUCCUGCACCAAGAAAUGCUCCAGCAGGCGCUGCACCAGAUCGACAUCGUACAGCGUGUCACUCCGGUUGUAGGAAGGGAUCAGCAGGUCGACCAGACUGGCCUGCUCCAGCUGCAUCCCCACUCUCUUCUCCAACUCCGUCACCAGCGCCGGCGCCACCUUCAGCAUGUUCGCCAGCCGCAGCAGCCGCAGGAGGAAGCUGCAGGUCACGCAGUCCUUCUGCGGCGGAAUUAUGCUUAUCAGGCUCUCGAUCACCAUCCGCUGCUCCCGAAUUUGCGACCCCGUCAGCUCUUCCUUGCUCCCCGCCCCCGCCCCCGCCCCCGCCCCCGUGAUCAUCAGGUGCAGCCCCGCCCGUCUGGCCCCACCCCUCAUCCCGCCGCGCCGCGCCGUCGGGCUCUCUUUCGUCAAGCCCGGCAGCCAUUCGCCGCGUACUGCGUGAUCGCCGCCCACCAGGUCGAACCGCAUGCCCUUCACCUUUAUGGCCGUGACGACGCGCACGAAGUGGUCGAUGCGGAGGAUCGACACGUCCUCGAACCACCAGUCGGCCGGCACGGGCUGGCUCCGGCUCGGGCUCGACUCCUUCGAGUCGGCAUUCCACUUCGGACUCGACGCCGCCGCCGCCGCCGCCGCUGAUGACGAAUGACGACUUAUUCGGGCGGCCGGUGUAGGCCCACCGGAUGCCGCGGGGAUUGGCGCAGGCCUUCCAUGCGAUGGACUCGCUGCAGCGCCGGACGAUCUGCAGGUUCUCGGCCCACGGCGACAGCCCCUCGCAGCUCUUGAGCACGAUGAUCGAGUCCCGCCACGACGACAGCACGACGUAGCUGAGGAAGGCCUCGGUCUUGAAGAUCAGAUUGCCCUCCUCCAAGUCCUCCGUCAUCUCCAGGUACUCCGCCGCGCACCGCAGCCCCGAGAUGUUCCCCGCCGUCAGGUCCACCGCGAUGCCGUAGCAGAACUUGGCCGCCAGCUCGAACGACUCCGGCCCCCCCGGCAGGUCGUCCAGCUCCACCACCGUCGGCUCCACCUCGCGCGACGUCGACGACUCGUAGAUUAUCCGGUUCAUGCGCCCGCUCCGCGACAGCAGAGGGUACUUCCAAUUCACAACAACCAAAUAAAUCCUCAGAACCAUAUAGAGAAAUUAAUUUGCAUGAAGUCAUACAAAACCUACCUUGUGUAGGUGGAAGCUGACGCCUCCGAUCUUAACAAGCAAAUCACUGGGUAUAUCGCUUGAGACAUACCUAAUAAACACAUGUAAUUAACACAGCACACCAUUGUUAUACACUAUCUAGUUAAGUAGAGUUAAAAGUGGCAAAACGAAGAAAUCAAACAGGAGUACUACUGUAGAGUGAUGGAUAUAUAUAUAUAUACCAAGAUUGAUCUCUCCGUUCGAAGCCGUCGGUUUUGAGACCGUCGUGAUGGUUGGAGUCGAGGGAGCUCAUACCGCGGUCUCCUCUUCCAUGGGACUCACUCUCCGAUUCCCACAUGGUGAUCGAGAACUUGAAGUAUAAGAAGUGAAAAGGAACCACAACACUAUAUAUAUAUGUUCUCACUAACAGUGAAGCAAAAGAAAAAAAACAAAAGUGUCCUUCUAGUAAUCCUUAUUAUUGGGUUUAUAGAUAAGUGGAUUUGAAAAGCCAAGAGAUCUAGAGAGAGAGAGAGAGAUUGAGAGAUUGAAGAAACUAAAGAGGAGGAAGAAGCAAAUUGUGAGGGAUAUGAGAAAAGGCUAGUUGGGGAAGUGUGUAGUGGACAUGUUGGAGAUGAAUAGGAGAAAGAGAUAAGAAUGGUGUUUUUAUCUCUUGGCCCCAGUGGAGGAGGUGGGAGGGGGAAGGAGAGUGGGGGGUGGUGAUAACUCGGGGGGAGAAUAUCACAUGGGAUGUUGGACUUAGCUACACUUGUCAAGGAUCCCCUCCUGGUUGUUCGAAAUUGUUGCCUACACCUAAUACAUCUAUACAUUCGUGCACCACAUAAUUAGCCAUCUCCCCGACCCGUCGCUUUCGUCCGGAAAAUAUAAUAAUUAUCAGAUGGGGAGUAUGAUCAAAUGUCUGUAGCAUUAUAGCAUAUUAAUUAUUCUACCUUUCGAAAGUCUCUUUUUUUAAAUAAUUAAGAUAAGUCGUCCUAUAAAUAAGAAUUGUAUAUCCUAAUAAAUUAUGACUAUUUCUUUUUUAUUUUUUGUGCUUAUUAAGAUCUUGUUUGAUUGGAUGCAUAUGAUAACACAAUAUGCAGUCCCAUAGUUAAGAUAAAUUAUUUUGAAAAGUCAUAACUAUCAUAUGUCGGUAAUGACCUAUAUAUAUAUAUUUGUUACAAGAAGAUAACUAAUUGGGACAUCAAAUCAUGCUCCUGAUCUUGCAAUCUUAAUUAGUUCUAAAUAGAUUUAAAAUGUCUUUUAUCAAGUGAUCUACAUGGAGUAUAAAAUGUAUUAUGUCAUGAGAUGAGGAGAAGCAGUGUAGGGUGAUAGGUGGGAGGGUGCAUGGAUUUACAGAUGCACCCUGUGCAUGCAAUAUUUUUUGCUGCAUCUGGGAGCAUGGGCUUCUCUUAAACCCCUUCCCCAUCCCCAUAUUUCCUUGCCAUUUUUGCACCUGUUUGAGGGCAUUUGUGUGGCCUUGGCUUUCCCCACUUCCUGUCCAUGUGGUGAAAGCUGUGGCCUUUCUGUAGCAUUCCUGUUUGCUUUCUGGGCUGAUCCCACUAGUUCCAAUCAUAUUUUGUCCUACAUUUAUCAGAUGAUUAUGUACCAUGCAGAAAAUAUUAGUUGAUCACAUAUCAUGAACAAUAUAUUAAAGUAGCUUUAUCUUUUCCCUUGCUUAUAUCUGAAUAUGUUAUUGCAAUUUUGCCUUUGUUUAUAUAUGUUGCCAAACCAUGGAGUUCUCACUGAUGGGGGGGGAAAGGGAGGGAUUGGGCGAGAGCGCGAGUUCGAGUUCCAGUUACGGGUGAAGAGGUUCAAAUUGUUCUGAUUCUCCACGAAAAUAGAGGGAUCUUAGUUUGGUAUUGUCGUCAUAUUCUGUAUUUAUAUGUUUAAAUUUCGUAUAAUUACAUGCUAUAAUAAAUGAACUCUUUUUAUUUUUGUCAUUGUUAGUUAGAAUGUCCUGCCUAUAGUCACCAUGUAAGCCAAUCCUUUGCCCAAUAAUGAAGUGUGAAGGAAGAGAGAUGCGAGUGAAAUCUCUUGCCAAAUUGAAAAUUUUGUUUUACCAAAAUAAAAAGUUGUGAUGAAAAAUAGCCGAAAUAGUGAGGCAAGAUCAUGCGCAAUUUAGUAUAUACGAAGUACAAAGAAGAAAAAGGUAGAGAGUGAAAACAUCAUCAAUUAAUGACAACUUUUUGUCAUCCUAGUAAAGGAAGAGAAAAAAAGAAAAAGAAAAAAAGAAAAAGAAAAAGAGAGGUCACUCUGUCUGGGUAGUACAGUUAUGCAAGCAGUACUGGAUAAGAUCAUAAGAGAAGGAAAGUUGGGCCAUUUCACAUUCUGUUAUUAGUGGUUAAGGUAAGAAAAAGCUGCAGUUCCACUGCCCAUGAUUGGGGAGGGUUUUUAGUUUUACAUCACCUUGUCCUCUAUGUAGAAUAUGUAUUAAAAAAAGAGAAAUGAUUCGGUACUUUAUUAUUAAAAAAAUAAAAUAAAUCUUAAUCGUUGAUUAAUAGAGAAUAAAAAUAUAAUUUUAAUAUUUAGCAGGUAAAUGGGUUACAUCAUUCGAGGUUAUUUCAAUAAUUAAACUAUACAACAUUUAAAAAAACUUUUAAUUGAUAUCCUAAAUUUAUACAUUAAUUUGUACUAAUUUAGGAAAUUGAUUGGUUACCCUAAUUUAGGCAUUAAUUUACGAAUUUAGUUUAGAAAUUUACGAAUUUAGUUUAAACAUAAAAAUUAAAAAGAUUAGGGUUACUAUUCAGAAAAAAAAAUGGUUAGAAAUUUGAAUUCGAACCCGAUUAACAAUCACAAAAUCUAUUUCGAACUCGACAUAUUUCAAAAAUCCAUAUAUAAACCUGAAACUAACCAAUUUUUCGAAACCCAAAACCAAAUCCAAACCGAAAGACUGGAACCCGAAAUAAUUAUUUCUUUUUACCAUAUUUCAAAAUAUUUUAUAUUAAAUUAAAAUUUUAAAAUAUAAAUUCGAAUAUAAUAUUAAACUUUAUAUAUGAUUCGGGUUGGAUUCAAGAUGAAUAUAGAAAAAUUUCAUAGUUGAUUUACAAAAUAAUCUCAUGUUCUUGUUGUCAAAUAAUUUGAAAAUUUUCUUAUAUGAAAUGCCAAAUAUGAGAGGAAAGAUAAAGAGAGAAAAAUGAAAUAAAGAGAGAAUAAAAAUUUUAAUAAUAUAAUAAAGAUAAAAUGACUAAAUUGUUCAUGUAUUAAAAGACAAAAAUACCCUUUUUUGAGGUACCUGAUUACCGGUACCUCUCCUAAAAUGACAUGCUAUUGCAGGUCAUAAUUUUAAGAAAAUUAAAUCUGAACCAUUAAAUAGGAGUGAAUGAACGGUAACGAAAAAAAAAAAAAAGUAUAGAAGCAUUACUCUUAAAAAAAUUGUUAAUUUUUUGAGUAUCCUUCCUUCUAACUUUAAUUAUAUAAAUGUUUCUGAAAAAAUUAUCAAUAUCAAAAAUAUUCUUUUAAUCUUAUAAAACUAUUCAUUCUUAUCUACUAACUCUGUUUAAAAUUUACCGUUCGUCUGUUUCACCCGUGGAGGGUUUUAGAGUUCAGAGUUAAGGGUUGUAAAGGUUUAGGGUAAUAUUUUUUUAGGAUUAUAGAGUUUUAGGGUUUCAGGAUUUUAGGGUUUUAAGGGUUUGGGAUUUUACGAUUUCAUAAUUUUUUGAGAUUUUAGGGUUUUAGAGUUUUUUAUAGUUUAGGAUUUAGGAUUAAUUUUAGAGUCUUAUAGGGUUUAGAAGCAUGGGUAUGGAAAUCUAAUAAUUAACGAGUGUGCAUAAAAUAAUUUUAUUAGUCUUUCACGAUGACCAAAAUAUUAGCUAUAAUUAACUAAAAAGGGGCAAAAUUGUUAACUAGACAUAUUAGCUAUAAUUAACUAAAAAGGGGCAAAAUUGUUAACUAGACAUUUUCUAACGUACAUUGAUGAGGAGGGUGUUUGUGACACAACUUAUAAAUUUUGAGAGUAAUGCUAAUACUGACAACUUUGAAGGAAUAUUUGCGAUAAUUUUAAAAUUUUAAAAUUUUGAAAGGCGCUUUUGAAAUGCCCCUUAAAAAUUACAUUCUUUAACACUCAUAUGGUAACUCCUACUUUACAUAAAAAAGUAACUUAAUUUUCACUGUUUUUGUGGGGGAUAAAAGAAGAAAAUAAGUCAAACCUUUUAAUUAGCACGUACCCUUUGGUAAUUCUCUUUCAACAACAGUAACAAUCUUUAAUAAAUUAGUUGUUUUUUGUGGAGAAAAUGUUAUAAAUUACUUGUCUUUAACCUAAACUAAAAAUAUAGAGUUCUUGUUACAUGGAAAAGUAAAAUUAGAUUAUGAGCUUCAAAUGUUGGUAUAUAUUGUAAUAUUUUAUUAUUUGUGGGUAUUCUUGCAAUAAUUACACUUACCUUGCUAUAAAUAUACAUUACUCAUACAUCUAUUUGGGUUUGAGGUCCCAUAUUCUAAUAUCAAAAGCUAAAAUGAGAUUAUGAGCUCCAAGAGUUGAGGUCUAAGUUGUCCUUAACCUAAAGUGUAAGAAUAUAGAGUUCUUGUUACAUGAAGUAAGCUGAGAUUGUGAACUUGAAAAUCUGAAGCUAUAGUUAGACAUUUUUGUUCUCCUACAAAAGAAAAAUGUUUGAGAUACUUUAAUAUUGUAUAUUUUUUAACUAUAUAUACUAUUUAAAUAGUACUUCAUCAAAUAAUACUGUAUCCCACAACAAAAUCAGAUAACCAAAAGAAAUAGAAAAUAUUUGUUAUGAAAUAAGUUUUUUGUUUUCUGAAUAUGAGAGGGGCGUUGUCAUGCCCUUUUGUUAAGUGCUUUUCUGAAUCAUUUUCUAUCGUAUCAACCUUGUGAGUCAUACGAUAUUCAAGCCAUCUCUGAUCUCCUAUUAUGUGAAGUGAUGGGCUUUCACUGUCCGCCGCUACGUUCCAUUAGUUAAAAUACUUGUAUCAAAAUUUAAUUGAUCAAAUUCAUAUUUCUUUUCUCACAUGUUAAUACUAACUCAUUUUCUAGUUUUUCUCUAUUGAAUCAUUUUAGCUGGUGAAAAACUUACAGUAAUCUACAGAACAAUUAUUACAUUAAUUAAUCCCCAGUACUUUUUGUAGUUUUGUUGAAACACAAACCAAAUAUAAAAUUGAUCUAAUAUCUUCGUUAUCAGAAUAAAGUGUGAUUACGUAGGGUUCGACUAAAAAAAAUAAUACACGUAUUCUCAUCUUCUUGAGGAAAGAAACAUGAUUUUUUUUUUUUUGUUUAAUGGAGCCGUGUACUAAUUCACUCUUGAAACAUGCAUAAAAUUACAUUGGUCAAGUAAAAAAAAGAUAUAUAUGGUAUCGACACAUUAACGUUCCUUAGAGGGUAAUUAGCUACAUAUAUAGAUGCAAUGAAAAUUUACGAAAACAAAACCUCUCGGUGAACAUUAACAAAUAUCACAUCAAAUCAAUGUACGUUGUUGUCUAAUGAAAGGCAUUUUCCAUGCAAUGAAGAAACAUUUGGGCCAUGGAUUGAGAGACACAAAUCAAUAGCAGUACCAGCUCUUAUAUAUGAACAGUGCCACUAUAUAUCUUGUGAGCCCUUGAGCCGUGAGAUUCCUAUACAUUAUUAUGUGUGGUCCUUAAUUGCUUUUUCUGGGGACAGCUUGAAUAACAUGUUAGGUAGGUUUACAAGUUGUUCUCAUAGUUACUGUUAACAUGUAUUCCUAGAAUAGUUUUCCAAUUAUAGAUGAAUUUUAGGUACGUAAUAAUAUUAUCAGAGCCAAUUUUAAACGCCUUAAAUACAUUCAUCUUGUGAGGGUGUGGGCCUGAUCCCCACUUUCAACAUUUAUUAAGUUAACUGUUCUGCAUUAUAUUGAAUGAUUCCCAUCUUGUUUCAUGAAUUUGUCUCUUUGAAUUGGACUUAUUUUAGUGGCUUUUUUUAUGUUUAAAAGGAGUUUCUACAUAUGUAUAUAUAUAUAUAUAUAUUAGUGAUGGUUAAUUAAUUUCACACAGCUUCCUGUAAACAUAUAUAUCGAAUAGCAAAAAUAUAUCCCUACAAAGUUUAACUUUUUAUAUUUAUUCCUGCAAAAGCUUAAUGAUAUUCAUAUUUGUCUCUCUGAUUUGUUACAUGUUAGAGCACUAUUUAUUUUUUAACAGGAGAUAAAGAAAAUGAUAUUUUUACCAUCACAAAUAUAUCCCUUCAAAAGCCCCAAUUGUUAGAAUUAUGCAGAAAUGUCCCCCCAAAAAUCUCCAAUGAUCAUCUUUUUUUUUUACCAUCACAAAUAAUAUAAGAGAGAUAAAAUGGUCAAUUUAUCUCAUUCACUAAACAGGAUUAAGUAUUUUAUGUAUGUUUAACUAUAUUUUUCUAACGGAUCCUAACGGUAGGGGUAUAUUUGAAAAUAUUAACACUUUUGCAGAAAUAAAUAUGAAAAGUUUUGAUAUGUUUUCAGGGAAUCGUGUGCAAUAUUAACCCUAUUAGUUAAACACCCAUACGUGCUUUACGGCAGAUUAAUAGCUUUAUGGUAAACAUACAUCGGUAACGAUAAUAAAAACUAUACCUUGCUGAAAUUGAAAUAUCAUACAAAUAGUACUUGAAGCAAAAAUUAGGUUGUAAUACUUCUAAUAGCACCAAGUCAUUAAUGUUAUUAGAUUUUUGGUUUUUGAAUGAAGGGAUGUAUGGUUAGGAUGAUAGUAGUUUCUAGGGUUAACUGAGUGUGGUUAGUUGAAUAGUAUGAUCGCACGGAUGGAAAUGAUCAAAGGGAUAAAUCUAACGGUAAAAAGCUUGAUAGCACCAACUGCUUGGUGCUAUUAGAAGCACCCCAGCCGGAUUCCUUGAAGCAAAUUAACUUCCAUUUUAACGUAAUUAUUUUUAAUAAAUAAAAUUAAUGAUUAAUUGGUAGAUUAUUUAAUCUAAGUAAAAAAAUCUCAACAAAAAGGAAAAAAUAUAGAAGCUAGCUGAAAGUGUCUCAAAUAAAAAAAAUAAAAUUUGAGUAGACUACCGACCGUCCCUAGAGCAAGUGGCAAAGGGCUUGGUGGUUGGUACCCGAAACCUUAGUUCGAAUCCUAAUUGAUUUACAUUUCUAGCUAAAUUUAUUUCUAAAUGAAAUAAACGAAGUGGGUAGCGUGCUACCUAUCUCUCUGAAAAAAAAAAAAGAAAAAAGAAAAGAAGAUUGAGUAGACUAUUAAUUUGAGGAGACAAUUUCAACUAGCGCAUGCCUCCGGUCUAAACAAUUAACUUUUUCCUCU
RNAcentral lists this long non-coding RNA (16783 nucleotides) under Ananas comosus (pineapple). RNAcentral's name for it is "long non-coding RNA (ACOM_LNC029865)". Lineage: Eukaryota; Viridiplantae; Streptophyta; Magnoliopsida; Poales; Bromeliaceae. The record is from RNAcentral.